GGAAGAUGUACAGCGACUGUCAUUCUCUUUAAAAAAACAGUAUGUCACUAUGGAAUAUCCAUUAUGAUUGCCCCAUGCAUGUUUCCCAAUAUAAAGUCCAAAGUUAUAUGAAAAUAUUACUUUCAGAAAUCAUUCUCUAGGUCAUCAUUCAGAGGUCUCAAAGUAUCCCUUCUUGAGGCAGGUGAUGCCUCUACCCACUUACUGCUGUGAUGUAUGGCAAAGUCUCCAAAGCACAAAGUGAGGCUAAAGUAAUUCUUAACUGCAGAAGUGCUUCCUAAAGUUACAUAUCAGGAAGUGGCCAGGAUGGACAUAUGUUAACAUUGUAGCUACACAAUUGAAAGAAA
Molecule: long non-coding RNA, 344 nt
Organism: Erpetoichthys calabaricus (reedfish)
Lineage: Eukaryota; Metazoa; Chordata; Cladistia; Polypteriformes; Polypteridae
Exons: 2
Source: RefSeq, a predicted model, not a curated record